Molecule: ribosomal RNA, 253 nt
Filed under: uncultured prokaryote
Description: partial 16S ribosomal RNA
Rfam family: Bacterial small subunit ribosomal RNA
Source: RNAcentral
GACAGAGGUGCCAAGCGUUAGGCGGAAUCACUGGGCUUAAAGCGUGUGUAGGUGGAUUGGUAAGUACCUUGUGAAAUCCCACGGCUUAACCGUGGAACUGCUUGGUAUACUGCCUGUCUUGAGCCAACUAGGGGCUAUCGGAACAAAUGGUGGAGCGGUGAAAUGCGUAGAUAUUGGAAGGAACACCAGUGGCGAAGGCGACUAUCUGGGCAAAUACUGACACUGAGACACGAAAGCAUGGGGAGCAAACAGG